Molecule: long non-coding RNA, 991 nt
Organism: Neopsephotus bourkii (Bourke's parrot)
Lineage: Eukaryota; Metazoa; Chordata; Aves; Psittaciformes; Psittacidae
Exons: 4
Source: RefSeq, a predicted model, not a curated record
UACAUACUAUAUAUAUGGCCAUGUAAAUGGAUAUGUCAACCACUGCAGUACCCAGCUGGUGAUCCAGCCUUCCAAACUGAACCAAGAACCUUGUAUUGCCAUGGUUAUUUUGUCCUACUGCCCAAAACACAGUGGAAAGGUCUGCAGGGAGAGGCACAUUCCUUGAACUGUGAGGUAAAGGUGGUUUAGGGCAGCAGCUACCAGCACAGAUCAGGGUUCACUCAGCUCCAAGAUCUAACCCAGUUAGGUGUGUGGAACGGGGCCACCUGCUUAAGUGCCUCAAGGUGUGUUUUGUGAGGGGGUUUAACUGGCUCAGCCUACUGCCUUCCUGCCAGGGUCAAGAGGGCUUUUUUCCAAGUAGCAAACGGUGAAGGAAUCUGGAGGAGACUGUCAUGUAAAGUAAAAGAAAGAGGUGGUCUCGGGUAAAGAGCCUGUGGUUAUGUGCUGACCUGACAGAGUAAGCAGGGAAGAGUGGGCUACCUACAGCAAUUUGAUAGAGGAUCAGGAAUGGCUACAGAAGAAUGUGCUGGUAGGUUCAUCCUGGAAGUAGUCAGGGCCCCUGUUUGUUUCCAGUGAAAUGGUAUGGCAGUCACACUGUAGGCAUCCCAUUGGGCUGCCAGGCAGACUCAGAACUCAACAUCAUGGAUAAAAGCAGGAAUAAAAGAAACAGAGGCUCAUGCUUGUACAAAACCAGCUCAGCACAAGGAAGGUGUCGGUAGCCGUGGGUCUACCUAGAAGAGCAAAGACAGCUGCUUGGCCUGUGAGCAGUUUGGCUGUGCCCUCCCAGGAAACUGAACUCCUGAAGGCUGCUUGCCCUGGUGUGCAGCACUUGGUCUGCUGUGGGGCCCUACCAAGGGGGAUAGCUGCGUUGCCUUCACCUGAGACUCCUGUAGGAGCAGAACUAACUUCCUAACUCACUGUGCUUAACAGAGCUCAUGCAACAUAAAAGGAAUAAAAAAUUAUAUGGUUGCUACUAUCCAUUCCUGUUUCA